UCAUUCUCCUUCAGAUUCAUUGCCUUUUAUCAAACUAAAUGCCCAUGACAGUGUUUGAUUACACAAUCCUUUUGGGUUCUGCCUGUUAAUUUUACAGCUCAAGAUCAAGAACAAUGAAUAUACGCGCAAAGCAUUCGUAGAAAAGAUGGCUUACGACACUAUCAAGUUGAAUUCCAACUUUCCAAGUCGACAUGGGGACCCUCGUGAUCUUCUGUGAUAAGGUCGCGAAUUUUCUCUCUCCCUCCACCUUUUUUUCCUUCUUCUUUUGAUCUGCCGACUUGAAUCGACCUUAUUUGCUUGCCCUGUUUCACAAUGUCCUUAGAUUUUUCGAUUUGUCAGGACCCAUUAAAACUAUUUGGGGUGAAUUAGAUCAAAAUGGGAUUUCAUGAAUACCCACCGUGGAUUAGAAAUAUUUCUUUUUGGAUCUUGCACACCAUGUGUUUGAUGUAAGUUCUGACACUUUUUUUUCAUAAGCUUUUUAUGAUGCAGGGUGUGUCAGAGGAGGAGAAAGCAGCAGUUGUAUAAGGUAACUCGACUGAGAUUUUGUACUGAAAACAUAAUACCAAACGUCAUUUCUGGUAAAAAUAUGCGACCGUUGUGCCUUUUAGCAUGUGAUAGGUGUUAGUUUAACCAAUUGGGCUUUGCAUGGACUUUCCUUAUCUUUUUUUUUCUUCAUUUUUUUUUUGAAGUGGUAUGAAAAGCUAGCUAGCAUCGAAAAGCCAACAUGCCAGCUCAAAAAGCUUCAAAAUCAUAGCCUCGCCAUUUCAGAUUGAGGAAAAGUAGGAAUCUAUAGUGCCAUGAUUCAAAAGUUGUCUUGGGAUCCAUUUUCAAGAGCUAGCUUUUUCUGUGCUUUCUUCUUCUUAUUUAUUUUAUAGUUACUUUUUUAUGGGGUGGGGGAGUUGGUUAAGAAAACCAAUACAACUUUUUAAAUUAUGUCACCUCUAUUCAUAUUAACAGUUGUUUUAACUAAUUAGCAAAUGAGAUUCAUAAGUAUGCCCUUUCUCGUAUGGGCUAUUUUUGCUGGGUUGAUCCUCUCCCUCAACGUAUUUAGGACAUUUGUAGGACGGAUGUUGUUUCUCUUCCAUUUACUUGAGGUUUGAUUCGGCUUAGACAUUCCUAGAGUGAGUAGGUUUACCAUUUCUCGAAAUCUCUUUUGAAUUCAAGAUUGUGGUGUAACGUGUAUCCCUUUUAUUUAGGUCAUGGAGUAAAUGAAAUAAAUAUAAAAAGGGUAUUUGUUUAAGAAUUAAAUUUUAUUGGAAUUAUCCAUAUCUAGUUCAUCUUUUGGAACCCCAUCCUAUCUCGGAUAGGAUGAAAUAGUAUGAUGCAAUAUUUCUUUCUAAAAAAAUCAGCAAACUUCUUCUCGUGUUUCCUCUAAGUAUUAACCGUAACAUACAUUUUAUUUUCCAUUUUACUAUGCUCAACUGCAUAACCCUGAAAUAAAAGGGUUUUUUUGUUGGGGGAGAAAAACUUAAAAUUACAUCAGCACGCUAUAUUUUAAUUACUAAAAUCAAGAAAAGGACGAAUAUUAAUCCUCAUUAUACUCUGCAAUGUACCAUGACCAUCAGCUUUCAUAUUAUUAUAAUUCUAAUUUUUGUUUUGAUUUUUAACUCUUGGCAUUUUUAUUGAGCUAAUUCUUAUAACAAGGCUUGUUUUGCAAGAAACUAACCUUUCUUAAGUGGCUUUCUAGGGAGUGGGACAUAUUUCAAAAGGCAUUUCGUUUGCCCUUUUUCCUAAAGUAACCAAACCUAAGAUCCUUUUAUGUUUUUAUUUUUUAUUUUUUUUAUGUUAAUAGGUUCUUUUAUUCUUUCUGAUGCACCUUGGAUGACUCAGAGAACAAAAAGUAAGAUUCACCAACAAUUUUUCGAUUCCUUUAAAUAUAUCUGUGGAACCGAAAAACAACACACUAGUCAUUAAGCAAACAUCUCUUCCUUAUUGCUAGUGAAGAACAUUCUAGGUGAGUGGCUGCAGAGAUCAAGCCAUUCCAAGCAAGAGAAUUUGUAUAGCUGAUUUUAUUUAUCAUUAAUCCAAUAUGGAGACUUCACUGCAGAGACAUGUUAUUGGAAUUCCAGUUUAUUCAGCAGCACUGCAGUUUGAGCAAUCAGUUAAGAGCCUCUUACCUGAUCUUGCUGGCCAGUACAAUAUCCCCUCUUCAGACAGUAGAAAAUAUCCGGCACUGAAACAAUGUAGUCAAGAUGCCCCAUUGGCAAGAGCUUGGGGUCUCUUGGUCCUACUGGUUUAGAGAUCUCGAGUUUAAACUUUUGGAUGUGUUUAAUACCAAAAAUCCUUGAUUUAUCUUGGAACUAGGCCUUGGGGCGGGCACGGGUGCCUCUGGAUAUAGGGGAGCAAAGCUCUGACUCCCGAUUCCAGAAAAAAGAAAAAGAAGUCAGUGCUUGGCAAGUUAACAAAACUUGGUAAAGGAACACAGACAGCUUCGAACAUGGACAGUGAGUUUGUUUUCUUCUGCUUAGUUAGUUUUUCAAGAAUCUCAAACACUUGUGAUAUGGAGCACAAAUAAUUGGGAUGAUAAAACGAUUUACUUUUUUCCAUUCGUUGCGAAGUCGAAGUGAGCUGUUUGGAAUGGAAGUUUGAUAGAAACUUUUAUCUGUUUAUGGAACCACAGUGAGACUAGGAUCCAAGAUCACAGAAACUGUGAAGGGAAAGUUGAGCUUGGGAGCUAAAAUUCUUCUAGCAGGUGGAUUAAGGAAAAUCUACAGGCAUUGCAAUAUGGUGGGCAGCUUCAAAUAUAGAAAUUAUUAGAUGCUGGGAAUGCCACUUUUUUGCCUUUGUUUCAAUCAUGUUUCUCUCAUUGUCAAUGAAAAAUAAAGCCACAAUGGAGGAAAUUUUUAAGUUUCUGUAUAGGCUGUAGGCAGCUAAGGAACAAAAGUGGUAAGCAGUUUAUGAAUGGAUAGAAAGGACAUAUUUUUACA
Non-coding RNA from Momordica charantia (bitter melon), 2927 nucleotides. The record is from RefSeq and is a predicted model, not a curated record. NCBI's taxonomy places the organism in Eukaryota, Viridiplantae, Streptophyta, Magnoliopsida, Cucurbitales, Cucurbitaceae.